RNAcentral lists this unclassified non-coding RNA (287 nucleotides) under soil metagenome. RNAcentral describes it as "partial contains small subunit ribosomal RNA, internal transcribed spacer 1, and 5.8S ribosomal RNA". The record is from RNAcentral.
UUUCCGUAGGUGAACCUGCGGAAGGAUCAUUAACGAAGAAGUAGUGCGGCAGUGGAGCGUGCUGGUGCGCAAGCGCCGGUGUGCGAUGCUGCGACUGCAUAUACUACUACUACACACACUGUGAACCUGGUAGCGUGACAAGUGUGCAGCGGCGGUAGUUCAGAGUGGUGACACUCUGGACAACCGCGCGCACAUACUGUAUACAUACACUGUAAGACAACUAUACCACCUAGUAAUACAUUGACAAUUAAAACAUACAACUUUUAACAAUGGAUCUCUAGGCUCCU